GACGAACGCUGGCGGCGUGCUUAACACAUGCAAGUCGAACGGAGAAGCCAUUGCUUGCUCUCUUUUAUCAGUGGCGAACGGGUGAGUAACACGUGAGUAACCUUCCCAUCACUCUGGGAUAAGCGCAUGAAACGGUGUCUAAUACUGGAUACGACCAACCCUUGCAUGGGGUGUUUGUGGAAGGAUUUAUCGGUGAUGGAUGGACUCGCGGCCUACCAGCUUGUUGGCGGGGUAAUGGCCCACCAAGGCGCCGACGGGUAGCCGGCCUGAGAGGGUGACCGGCCACAGUGGGACUGAGAUACGGCCCAGAGUCGUACGGGAGGCAGCAGUGGGGAAUAUUGCACAAUGGGCGGAAGCCUGAUGCAGCAACGCCGCGUGAGGGAUGAUGGCCUUCGGGUUGUAAACCUCUUUCAGCAGGGAAGAAGCGUAAGUGACGGUACCUGCUGAAGGAGCACCGGCUAACUACGUG
RNAcentral lists this ribosomal RNA (469 nucleotides) under uncultured bacterium. RNAcentral's name for it is "partial 16S ribosomal RNA". It matches the Rfam family "Bacterial small subunit ribosomal RNA", at positions 28 to 507 of the family's 1533-position model. The record is from RNAcentral.